Molecule: non-coding RNA, 21 nt
Organism: Caenorhabditis elegans
Lineage: Eukaryota; Metazoa; Nematoda; Chromadorea; Rhabditida; Rhabditidae
Source: Ensembl
UAAACCGUAUGUAGUAAAAGA